Molecule: ribosomal RNA, 443 nt
Filed under: uncultured bacterium
Lineage: Bacteria
Description: bacterial SSU rRNA
Rfam family: Bacterial small subunit ribosomal RNA
Source: RNAcentral
ACGAACGCUGGCGGUAUGCUUAACACAUGCAAGUCGAACGGAUUUAUGGGGCUUGCUCCAUAAAUUAGUGGCAAACGGGUGAGUAACGCGUGGGAAUCUACCCAUCAGUACGGAACAACAUUUGGAAACAAAUGCUAAUACCGUAUAUUCUCUUCGGAGGAAAGAUUUAUCGCUGAUGGAUGAGCCCGCGUAAGAUUAGGUAGUUGGUAGGGUAAUGGCCUACCAAGCCGACGAUCUUUAGCUGGUCUGAGAGGAUGAUCAGCCACACUGGGACUGAGACACGGCCCAGACUCCUACGGGAGGCAGCAGUGGGGAAUAUUGGACAAUGGGCGAAAGCCUGAUCCAGCAAUACCGCGUGAGUGAUGAAGGCCUUAGGGUUGUAAAGCUCUUUUAGUAGGGAAGAUAAUGACGGUACCUACAGAAAAAGCACCGGCUAACUCCGU